AUGGAGGAAAAUGUGAAAGAGUGGGAGGCAUACAUGAAACGCAACUCGGGUGACUACUUCCGUCGAUCUUGCGUCAGUUCUGUUGGCAUAUGGCACAAUGACCAGCUAUGCAAAGACAUGGGGUGUGACCCCAGGAGGAAAAAUGGCUUUCUAACUGACUGGGUGGUUCCCUAUGAACCUGCAGAUUAUGCAGGUGUCAGUCCGAGGAAGUAA
This 213-nucleotide ribosomal RNA is filed under the name Triticum aestivum (bread wheat). Its description in RNAcentral is "partial small subunit ribosomal RNA". The record is from RNAcentral. Lineage: Eukaryota; Viridiplantae; Streptophyta; Magnoliopsida; Poales; Poaceae.